This 112-nucleotide ribosomal RNA is filed under the name Caerostris darwini. The record is from RNAcentral. Lineage: Eukaryota; Metazoa; Arthropoda; Arachnida; Araneae; Araneidae.
AACGGCCGUAUCAUGCUGAAUAUACCGGUUCUCGUUAGAUCACCGAAGUCAAGCAUCAUUGGGCGCGGUCAGUACUUGGGUGGGUGACCACCUGGGAACACUGCGUGCCGUU